This 459-nucleotide ribosomal RNA is filed under the name uncultured bacterium. Its description in RNAcentral is "partial 16S ribosomal RNA". It matches the Rfam family "Bacterial small subunit ribosomal RNA", at positions 338 to 795 of the family's 1533-position model. The record is from RNAcentral.
CCUACGGGAGGCAGCAGUGAGGAAUAUUGGUCAAUGGGCGGAAGCCUGAACCAGCCAAGUAGCGUGCGGGAUGAAGGCCCUACGGGUCGUAAACCGCUUUUGCACGGGGAUAACACCCUCCACUUGUGGAGGUCUGCAGGUACCGUGCGAAUAAGGGCCGGCUAAUUCCGUGCCAGCAGCCGCGGUAAUACGGAAGGCCCGAGCGUUAUCCGGUUUCAUUGGGCUUAAAGGGAGCGUAGGCGGGCGUUCAAGUCAGCGGUAAAAGCGCGCGGCUCAACCGCGCCCCGCAGUUGAAACUGGACGCCUUGAGUGCACAACAGGCAGGCGGAAUUCGUGGUGUAGCGGUGAAAUGCAUAGAUAUCACGAGGAACCCCGAUUGCGAAGGCAGCCUGCCGGGGUGCGACUGACGCUGAGGCUCGAAGGUGCGGGUAUCAAACAGGAUUAGAUACCCUUGUAGUC